AGUGAACGCUGGCGGUAGGCCUAACACAUGCAAGUCGAACGGCAGCACAGUAAGAGCUUGCUCUUACGGGUGGCGAGUGGCGGACGGGUGAGGAAUACAUCGGAAUCUACUUUUUCGUGGGGGAUAACGUAGGGAAACUUACGCUAAUACCGCAUACGACCUACGGGUGAAAGCAGGGGAUCUUCGGACCUUGCGCGAUUGAAUGAGCCGAUGUCGGAUUAGCUAGUUGGCGGGGUAAAGGCCCACCAAGGCGACGAUCCGUAGCUGGUCUGAGAGGAUGAUCAGCCACACUGGAGCUGAGACACGGUCCAGACUCCUACGGGAGGCAGCAGUGGGGAAUAUUGGGCAAUGGGCGCAAGCCUGAUCCAGCCAUACCGCGUGGGUGAAGAAGGCCUUCGGGUUGUAAAGCCCUUUUGUUGGGAAAGAAAAGCAGCAGGUUAAUACCCCGCUGUUCUGACGGUACCCAAAGAAUAAGCACCGGCUAACUUCGUG
Molecule: ribosomal RNA, 492 nt
Filed under: uncultured bacterium
Lineage: Bacteria
Description: partial 16S ribosomal RNA
Rfam family: Bacterial small subunit ribosomal RNA
Source: RNAcentral